This is a long non-coding RNA of Arvicola amphibius (Eurasian water vole), 701 nucleotides long. RefSeq lists it as uncharacterized. The record is from RefSeq and is a predicted model, not a curated record. The transcript has 2 exons. Lineage: Eukaryota; Metazoa; Chordata; Mammalia; Rodentia; Cricetidae.
CACAGAAUUAGGGACCUGUACGCUCACAAUGAGAUGAAUCAGACCUGACGCUCUAUGGAUUUUCUUCCUGCUGUGGUUCCAGAGCAGUCUAACCCAGCAGGAGUGAGUACCUUCCAGCAGGUGACCCAGUACAAAAAAAGUCUAAAGAAAAGCAGUGUUGGUUGCUUGCCUUCCCUUGGUCUGGAGUUCGUGUGUCUGUCUCUGCCGCUACUGUCCUCUUCUGACGUCAGACUCAAGCGUCUUCAGCCUUCUUCCAACACGAACUGAACACUCUCCAGGAAUCCUCCAGACCUUCAGCACCAGACUGGGACUGCCAAGGUGAUCAACUGUGUGGACUAAACAGCAUCUCUAGUAUUGUGUAAGUCAAUCUAACAAAUCCUUCUUUAUAAUCCAUAUUUCGUCUAUUAGUUCUGUCUCUAUCAAGAACUCCAUUUAAUCCAGUUUGUGGCUCCAGUAGCAGAUUCUAGAGAGGCAGAAUUCUAAGGAUGAAUUUCUCUAGUGGACUUGACGGUGUCUGGAGCUGGCUCUCCAAUUCAUCCACACCUAAAACUGCUAAAGACUCGACGGUACUCUGGAAGUGGGGAGAGAGCAUAGCUAUUCCAUCCUGUGAAUUAGAGAACGGUACAGCAUGCGCACAUGCACAUACAUAAAUAAAUAAGUGAAUGUAACUUUAAAAUGAAAAUAAAAGGAAAGAGAAAGGC